GCGUGUGUGUGAGAGAGAGACCGUGUGUAUGAGAGAGACCGUGUGUGUGUAUGAGAGAGAGACCGUGUGUGUAUGAGAGAGUGAGCGUGUGUGUAUGAGAGAGUGAGCGUGUGUGUAUGAGAGAGAGACCGUGUGUGAAUGAGACUGUCGGUGUGUUCGAGUCCUUUUCUACUACAUACACAUUGAUCUUAUUUGAUCGCCCGGGUGUUGGCGCCUGCGCCCGUGGUGACAUGAGAAUACCCCUCUGGCUAUGCCCCCUGGUUGUGGGGCUGUGUGCCCGGAGACUGCCUCUACAGGCCGCCGCUGUGGAAGUGAUGAAUUGAUCAGAUAUACUAAACUGCGUCAGCGGUUUAUGAGUAUACAGGCGAUUCUGAUCCGC
This is a non-coding RNA of Bufo bufo (common toad), 379 nucleotides long. RefSeq annotates it as small Cajal body-specific RNA 2. The transcript has a single exon. NCBI's taxonomy places the organism in Eukaryota, Metazoa, Chordata, Amphibia, Anura, Bufonidae. The record is from RefSeq and is a predicted model, not a curated record.